Molecule: long non-coding RNA, 4038 nt
Organism: Dromiciops gliroides (monito del monte)
Lineage: Eukaryota; Metazoa; Chordata; Mammalia; Microbiotheria; Microbiotheriidae
Exons: 3
Source: RefSeq, a predicted model, not a curated record
ACAGGAGAAGCAGCCGCAGAGCUGGGCAGGAAAUGCUAAUCACACAGAUGUUCUCCUCCAGUCCCUGCUCCUCCACAAUUAAACCCAAAUCUUCCACUGAGUGGAAGAAGCAGAACCGGGCCAGACCAGCUCCCAUUCCUACCCACUCCUCAUCUUCCUGUCCCCAAUACCUACCAUCAACUGAUCAACUGAAAGCUGGGAGUGAGGGAACAAAACCCAGAAGCAAUGGGGUACCCAAGGAGGAUGGGGCUACAGAGGGGACACGGAGCGGGAGGAGGACACGGAGCCCCAGGGAGAGAGAGCCUGCUAUGACCCCGUGGCGUGCUGCAGUCAAUAGCCCAUUGAUCUCUGGGGGCUGAAGGCGCCAUUGUGCCCGGCUUGGGGAGGGGGGGGGUUGUCCAAGGCGAUGUCAAAGGGAAGGAAUGUGUCUGGCUCUGAUGCCCCGGGGGCUCCAGGCUCAGAAUCUCAGCCAGGUCUUUCUUGGGUUUUCUGACCACAUCCCAGCUCCAGCAUCCACCCGCCUUCCUCCAGUAGUCACCUUUCCUUUCUUCUUUAAGGGAAUCUUAACCUCACCUGCCAUUCUACUCUCUUCGACCUUCUCCUUAUAGACCAGGUCUCAGUGUCCAGAGACUGAACUAUUUAUUCACAGACAGUCCGACAAGGAGGCUGGCCUGGUCAACAAAAAUAUAUGCGUGAAAAUGAGGCUCUGAACGAGGAGCUGUCCAGCAGCUCAGCUCUCAUACAGUUUGCCGUGCUGCGGAGGAAGCACAGAAUACUGAGGAAAUGGAGAGAAAAAGUGACCAACUUUAGGAACAGGAAGGCAGCGACCUCGGAUUUUCUUCCUCCCAACAUCACGGAGACAGAAUGGACUCGGGUGGUUCUACUAAAGCUCCAGGAUUCCCCGGACUCCAUGACGUCAUCGCGCCCGCUCCAUGACACCACUGCCCAGGAGGCCUCCUCGAUUGGGUUGUCGGGGUCUCGAUACCAGGAAGCCCCUCUGUAGACGCUGGAUCCAUUGAUCUGAACCCCUUGGUGUUUAGAUCAGACGUGUGACAGCCACCUCUAGGGUUCUUUCCUCUUCUCAGAGCUUUUGCCCUGAUUACUGCUCCCUAUUCCUGAUCCGUACAUAGCUCGCUGGGUCUAUAACCCCAGGGUCAAUAUCCCCGCAUUCUCCAGAUCUUCGAGUUUGAUGGGGGAGGAAACUGACUGACAAUUGCAGUCUUGCUGCUCCCCCUCCUCAAUCUUCCCCACAUACACAGACAUAUAUGUUUCUCCCAGGGCUCUGCACGUCUAUUUCCCACUCCUUUCCCUUUCCCUCCCUUUUCUCCCUCCCUGCUGGGCUGGGGGCUGCUGAAUUAUCAUUUCUCAGCUCCACUAAUGUGCGCCCUGCUGUGAGGAGGGAUCAUAAUUCUGGGAGAUGAUUAAGUUUCAAAUUGUUUUUCUUUGUGUUGUUGGAAACGAGACUUUAAUGUGGUCCCUCCCCUAGCAGGGGACCUGGCCUAGCCUCAGUCGCCUGCCCUAGACCCUGCCCACCCCUGUCUAAGCCCUUUCCUCUCUGAAUGGUUAUCCUGAGGAAGAAACCUGGGCUAUUUCCCCAGGGAUCUCUUCCAAGUACGGAGAUCUACUCCUUCCUCAGAAAGGAGUAUGUAAAGUCAUCUCCCACACUUGGAGAUCCCACCAAGCCUGAGCUAGUGUGGCCCAAGAAUGGUAAGGUUACUUUCCUUGCCUCUCUACAUUCCUGAACGCUUUAAUUUGUUUUCUCCCUUUCUAUGCUCAGUCUACCCCAUUCAUACCUUCAUCUCCCUCUGUUACUUUCUAUUUAUUUCUAGAGAAUUAGAAAUCUUUCUUCCCCAUUCCCAAACCAUUCUUCUCAUUCUUACUUUCUUCUCUACCUUCUGCCUUUAACUCAUACUCUAUCUCUCAGCCUCAGCUUUCCUUCUCGCUCAUUUAUUUCUUUCAUUAAGACAUUUAUUCAUUUGACAUUCAUUCAGAAAGUAUUUAAUAAGCAUCUGAUAUUCCACAGGCACUGUGCUAGGCACUGGAAAUACAAAGACAAAAAAGAAAGAAAAUCCUCCUCAUCAAAGAGUUUAUAUUCUGGGAGGAUGAGAGGGGGGAAACAACAUGUAUACAUGUAUUUUGCAUCUGCAAAGGUAAGCAUCCAAAUAUUAUUGUGCAGCAUGAUGAAAACUGCAUUUGAAGUCAGAAGGCCUGAGUUUGAAUGCCAUUUCCACUAUUUACUAUUUGUGAGAUCUUCAGUCAUUUCACCAAUCAGGACCUCAGCUUCUUCAAAGCACAGCUAGGUGGUGCCAUAGUAUAUGGAGCACUGGGCCUGGAGUCAGGAAGGCUCCUCUUUCUGAGUUCAAAUCUGGCCUUAGAUACUUACUACCUGUGCAACCCUGGGCAAUUCAUUUAACUCUGUUUGUCUCAGUUCUUCAUCUGUAAAAUGAGCUGGAGAAGGAAAUGACACAUUGCUUCAGAAUCUUUGGCCAAGAAAACCACAAAUAUUGUCACAAAGAGUUGGAUACAAACUGCUAAGUACCAAGUAAGGUAUUCUUAUUGUGCAAUGGGAAGAAAACUGGGUAUGAAGUCAAAGGUUUGAAUGUCAUUUCUCCCAUUUACAAUUUGUGAGCCUUUCAGCAAGGCAUUUCACCACUCUGGACUUCAGUUUCCUUAUUUGUAAAUUGAAAUGGUCAGACUAGAUGACUUAUAAGGUCCCUCUAGCUCUAAAUUUAUGAUUCUAAACAUAAAGUAAUGGGGGAGGGGGAGGCAGGAUGCACUAGCAACUAAGUGGAUUGAAAUAGGUCUCAUGUAGGAAGUUAAACAGGGCAGCUAGGUGGCACAGUGGAUAGAACAUGGGACUAGAGUCAAGAAGACCUGAGUUCAAAUUUGGCCUCAGAUACUUAUUAGCUGUGUGACCUUGGGCAAAUAACUUAACCCUGUUUGCCUCAGUUUCCUCAUCUGUAAAAUGAGCUGGAGAAGUAAAUGUCAAACCAAGAAAACCACAAAUGGGGUCAAAUAGAGGUAGACACAAUUAAACAACAACAAUAACCAAAAGGAGGUGACCAAGCUCCCUUUACAGAAAUUAAGAAUUCUAAGAAUCAAAAGUGAGGAGAGAAUGAAUUUCAGAUACCUUUACAAAGGCAGAAUGUUAGAAGUUGGAAUGUCAAAUCCAGGGAAUAACAAGUAUAGUAGUCAACCAUUUUGUUUAGAUGGUAGAGAAAUUAAGAGGGAGUGAAGCAAUAUACAAUAAGCACUCUAUUCACUUCACCACCUUAUCUGCCCUAUUAUUUUGCAUUAGUUAUAUGUAAACUAAUAGACUAAAAGCUACCUGAGAGCAGGAAACAUGUUUUAUUCAUCUUUCUAUCCUUCUUAGCCCUUAACAUAAUGCCCUGUAUAUAUAGUUAAUGUUUGAUAAAUGAUCGUUGAGUAAAUGAGUAAAUGAAUGAGAAUACAAGUUCUGAGGAAAGUCAUUAAUGUGUAUAUUUGUGGGUAUGUGUGAAAAUGUGCAUAUAAAUUCAAUAAACAUGGAUUAUUUGUGUUUAUUCUUUAGGAAGGUACCCAAUGGAGUUUAAGCUGCUACAACCAAGGGCCACUGUGAUCUUGUUUUCUAGAAAAGUUCUCUGACAGCAUGGGAGUGGUCUGAAUAAGUUACCACUACCUUGGGCAACCACACUUUAAAAUCCUUGCGGUCUGUGGGUUGAUGAAGAGUUAGUGUUACUCUGGAGGACAACCAAUUUUCUUCUCAAGGCAAACCAGACCCUUCCAACAACUUCUUUCCUGAUCUGAGAUUCUUCAUGAUAAUGAUGGCAGAUGCAUCAUGGCAUUUACUUCUACAAAUAUAAGCUUUAGAAUUGGCUUUUCUCUGGCCCUUGUCAAGUAAAGGCAUUGAACCUGCUUGAGUGUGUUUCUGUAAUUGAUCUCCCUAACUUUCCAGCUAUCCAUGUCCUUCUCAUCCUUCAAGGCUCAACUCAAGUCUCAACCUCCUCUCUGAAACCAUACUGCUCUGGUAUUCAUUGAUGCAGUCUCCCUCCUUUUAAA